Protopterus annectens (West African lungfish) is the source of this 462-nucleotide non-coding RNA. The record is from the annotation of a RefSeq genome assembly. Lineage: Eukaryota; Metazoa; Chordata; Ceratodontiformes; Protopteridae.
GCUGCGCUCCCAUUGUGGACAGAGGCUAUUCAUCUGGUCAGCAGCCUGUAGCUUCAAGCAAGAUGCGUUUUGUAGAGCUCAGCAUAUUAUUAGCCGUUUGUUUAGGAGGUGCCCAAUCUCAAGGGUUUCUGACAGAGACUGGAGGGGAUGUGAAGAAGCCGGGAGAGACCCUCAGGCUGAGCUGUAAAACCUCCGGGUUCACCUUCAGUAGCCACAACAUGCACUGGUUCCGGCAGCAGCCCGGGAGGGGGUUCGAGUGGGUCGCAAGAAUUAGCAAUGACGCUACCCAGACCUGGUACUCCUCAUCGGUAAAGGGUCGGUUCACCAUCUCCCGGGACAAUUCCCAGAACCUCCUUAACCUGAACAUGACAAGCCUCAAACCAGAGGACACGGCGAGGUAUUACUGCGCUAGAGAAAACACCGUGAUCGGAGUGAAUGAGGAGCUCGUCCAGUAACUGUGGA